This 682-nucleotide ribosomal RNA is filed under the name Arthrobacter sp. RNAcentral's name for it is "bacterial SSU rRNA". It matches the Rfam family "Bacterial small subunit ribosomal RNA", at positions 329 to 1019 of the family's 1533-position model. Lineage: Bacteria; Bacillati; Actinomycetota; Actinomycetes; Micrococcales; Micrococcaceae. The record is from RNAcentral.
GCACCUACUCCUACGGGAGGCAGCAGUGGGGAAUAUUGCACAAUGGGCGCAAGCCUGAUGCAGCGACGCCGCGUGAGGGAUGACGGCCUUCGGGUUGUAAACCUCUUUCAGUAGGGAAGAAGCGAAAGUGACGGUACCUGCAGAAGAAGCGCCGGCUAACUACGUGCCAGCAGCCGCGGUAAUACGUAGGGCGCAAGCGUUAUCCGGAAUUAUUGGGCGUAAAGAGCUCGUAGGCGGUUUGUCGCGUCUGCCGUGAAAGUCCGGGGCUCAACUCCGGAUCUGCGGUGGGUACGGGCAGACUAGAGUGAUGUAGGGGAGACUGGAAUUCCUGGUGUAGCGGUGAAAUGCGCAGAUAUCAGGAGGAACACCGAUGGCGAAGGCAGGUCUCUGGGCAUUAACUGACGCUGAGGAGCGAAAGCAUGGGGAGCGAACAGGAUUAGAUACCCUGGUAGUCCAUGCCGUAAACGUUGGGCACUAGGUGUGGGGGACAUUCCACGUUUUCCGCGCCGUAGCUAACGCAUUAAGUGCCCCGCCUGGGGAGUACGGCCGCAAGGCUAAAACUCAAAGGAAUUGACGGGGGCCCGCACAAGCGGCGGAGCAUGCGGAUUAAUUCGAUGCAACGCGAAGAACCUUACCAAGGCUUGACAUGGACCGGACCGCCGCAGAACAUGUGGUCCCCCUU